RNAcentral lists this long non-coding RNA (738 nucleotides) under Rattus norvegicus (Norway rat). RNAcentral's name for it is "long non-coding RNA NONRATT027729". The record is from RNAcentral. Lineage: Eukaryota; Metazoa; Chordata; Mammalia; Rodentia; Muridae.
GAAGUGGUGCCAGGAGACACAGAAGUUCAGCUGUUUACAUUGAACCCAGUCACAAAGCAGAGAGCAAAUAGCCAAGUUGUGCUUGGCUCUAAAACUUCAUGGUCAACCCUCAAGUGACUAAAUUAGUCUAGGGGUCUCCACCUCAUGAACAUUCAGAUCUCUCCCCAAUUUUGAAGUUGGAAUGAAUACAUUUUUUUCAUUAUGGUUUGACUAUAAGUCUAUGGGGGUGUCUUAGUCAGGGUUUCUAUUCCUGCACAAAACAUCAUGACCAAGAAGUAAGUUGGGGAGGAAAGGGUUUAUUCAGCUUACACUUCCACAUUGCUGUUUAUCACCAAAGGAAGUCAGGACUGGAACUCAAGCAGGUCAGGAAGCAGGAGCUGAUGCAGACGCCAUGGAGGGAUGUUACUUACUGGCUUGCUUCCCCUGGCUUGCUCAGCUUGCUUUCUUAUAGAACCCAAGACUACCAGCCCAGGGACAGCAUCCACAAGGGGCCCUCCCCACCUUGAUCACUAAUUAAGAAAAUGCCUGGGCUGGAGAGAUGGCUCAGCCGUUAAAGGCUAGGCUCACAACCAAAAAUAUAAGAAAAUGCCUUACAGCUGGAUUUCAUGGAGGCAUUUUCUCAAGGGAGGCUCCUUUCUCUGUGAUAACUUCAGCUUAUGUCAAGUUGACACCCAAAACUAGCCAGUACAGGGGACCAGGAGGUAGAAUAUUGUGGUUUGAAUCGGAAUGCCUCCCAUA